GAUGAACGCUGGCGGCGUGCUUAACACAUGCAAGUCGAACGAAGCACUUUAUUUGAUUUCCUUCGGGACUGAUUAUUUUGUGACUGAGUGGCGGACGGGUGAGUAACGCGUGGGUAACCUGCCUUGUACAGGGGGAUAACAGUUGGAAACGGCUGCUAAUACCGUAUAAGCGCACAGCAUCGCAUGAUGCAGUGUGAAAAACUCCGGUGGUAUAAGAUGGACCCGCGUUGGAUUAGCUAGUUGGUGAGGUAACGGCCCACCAAGGCGACGAUCCAUAGCCGACCUGAUAGGGUGACCGGCCACAUUGGGACUGAGACACGGCCCAAACUCCUACGGGAGGCAGCAGUGGGGAAUAUUGCACAAUGGGCGAAAGCCUGAUGCAGCGACGCCGCGUGAGCGAAGAAGUAUUUCGGUAUGUAAAGCUCUAUCAGCAGGGAAGAUAAUGACGUUACCUGACUAAGAAGCACCGGCUAAAUACGUG
RNAcentral lists this ribosomal RNA (481 nucleotides) under uncultured bacterium. Its description in RNAcentral is "partial 16S ribosomal RNA". It matches the Rfam family "Bacterial small subunit ribosomal RNA", at positions 28 to 507 of the family's 1533-position model. The record is from RNAcentral.